AUGUUGCAGUUUUGGUGGGGUGACGAGGGCAAUAAGAAGAGGAUGCAUUGGAUGGCAUGGUGGAAAAUGUGUGUUCCAAAAGAUCAAGGAGGUAUGGGCUUCUGAGAUAUACAAUGUUUCAACCUGGCGCUAUUAGCUAAACAAGCGUGGCGUCUUCUCGAGAAUCCAGAAUAUUUAUGUGCAACCAUCUUGAGAGCUAAAUAUUUCCCUGAGGGAGAUUUGAUGAACGCAAGUUUAAAGAAGGGAUCCUCCUUUACUUGGCAAAUCUUUAUGGCGGGA
Molecule: ribosomal RNA, 279 nt
Filed under: Triticum aestivum (bread wheat)
Lineage: Eukaryota; Viridiplantae; Streptophyta; Magnoliopsida; Poales; Poaceae
Description: partial small subunit ribosomal RNA
Source: RNAcentral